RNAcentral lists this microRNA precursor (82 nucleotides) under Tursiops truncatus (common bottlenose dolphin). Its description in RNAcentral is "miRNA (ENSTTRG00000024424.1)". The record is from RNAcentral. Lineage: Eukaryota; Metazoa; Chordata; Mammalia; Artiodactyla; Delphinidae.
AUUGGGUUGGCCAAAAAGUUCCUUUGGGUUUUUCCGUAGGAUGUUAUGGAAAAACCCAAAUGAAUUUUUUGACCAAUCCAAU